This is a long non-coding RNA of Symphalangus syndactylus (siamang), 733 nucleotides long. RefSeq lists it as uncharacterized. Lineage: Eukaryota; Metazoa; Chordata; Mammalia; Primates; Hylobatidae. The record is from RefSeq and is a predicted model, not a curated record.
CCUUGGAAGAGUGUAAUGACUGAAAUAUUAGUUCACUUUGUUAAAUCGGAUAAAGAACAUUAUCAUUUCCUGAAAUUCUUUAAAUUGAUGUGGAACAGGUUGAAAGAUAUUUUUAUGCUAUUUUUGUUCUUUUAAGUUAGUGAUAGAAGUUAUUUAGUACUUUUUCCACUAGUCAAAAAUCUUUGGCCCAGCGUGGUGGCUCACACCUGUAAUCCCAGCACUUUGGGAGGUUGAGGUGGGUGGAUCACCUAAAGUUAGGAGUUCAAGACCAGCCUGGCCAACGUAGUGAAACCCUAUCUGUACUAAAAAAUACAAAAAAAUAAGCUGGGUGUGGUGGUGGGCGCCUGUAAACCCAGCUACUAGGGAGGCUGAAGCAGGAGAAUUGCUUGAACCUGGGAGGUGGAGGUUGCUGAGGCAGGAGAAUUGCUUGAACGUGGGAGGCGGAGGUUGCUGAGGCAGGAGAAUCGCUUGAACCUGGGAGGUGGAGGUUGCAGUGAGCCGAGAUCACGCCAUUGCUCUCCAGCCUGGGCAAGAAGAGCAAAAAUCCGUCUCAAAAAAAAAAAAAAAUCUUUUCAGUUUUUUGAGAGAUUUGAAAAAGUAGUAUCAUAACACGUCAGUGAAUUCUGACUUUUAAGCAUGACAUAUUAGAAUCUUCCAUUUUCCACAGUCAUAUUUUCCUCAUUGAACUAGUGAUCUACUAUAUGCCUGAUAUUGUCUACGUCUCAAAACACUU